Molecule: ribosomal RNA, 450 nt
Filed under: uncultured bacterium
Lineage: Bacteria
Description: bacterial SSU rRNA
Rfam family: Bacterial small subunit ribosomal RNA
Source: RNAcentral
AACGAACGCUGGCGGCAGGCCUAACACAUGCAAGUCGAACGCCGUAGCAAUACGGAGUGGCAGACGGGUGAGUAACACGUGGGAACGUACCCUUCGGUUCGGGAUAACUCAGGGAAACUUGAGCUAAUACCGGAUACGUCCGAGAGGAGAAAGAUUUAUCGCCGAGGGAUCGGCCCGCGUCUGAUUAGCUUGUUGGUGAGGUAACGGCUCACCAAGGCGACGAUCAGUAGCUGGUCNGAGAGGAUGAUCAGCCACAUUGGGACUGAGACACGGCCCAAACUCCUACGGGAGGCAGCAGUGGGGAAUAUUGGACAAUGGGCGCAAGCCUGAUCCAGCCAUGCCGCGUGAGUGAUGAAGGCCCUAGGGUUGUAAAGCUCUUUUACCCGGGAAGAUAAUGACUGUACCGGGAGAAUAAGCCCCGGCUAACUUCGUGCCAGCAGCCGCCGCGGU